Molecule: ribosomal RNA, 957 nt
Filed under: Triticum aestivum (bread wheat)
Lineage: Eukaryota; Viridiplantae; Streptophyta; Magnoliopsida; Poales; Poaceae
Description: partial small subunit ribosomal RNA
Source: RNAcentral
AUCAGCACUCUACCCGACGACGUCCUCCUCGACAUACUUCAAUUCCUGGACCUCCGCACGGUGGUCAGAGCCAGCGCCGUGGCGAGGCGAUGGAGGCGGCUCCCGCGUAUGCUUCCCGACCUCGACAUGGACAUCGCCACCCUGGUACCGCACCGUUGCUGGGAUUCCUCGGUGGAUCGUGUCAUGGCCACCUACACGAAUAUCGUAACGUGGUUUCUGUCGCCCACCCAUCACCGGACGAGCUUGCGCCUCGCCUUCUACCUUGUAGACGUCGAUCCGUUCCUGCGCUCCAUCGGCGAUGCCAUCCCCACCGCCACCGCCGACCGCCUCGAGCUCACCAUACUCAGGUCAUAUGAUCCUUGCGUCGACUUUGAUCAAUGCUUCGUGUCUUUCCUCACGGCCUGCCCCGCCACCUUCGGCUGGCUCACCAGCCUUGCCCUACAAGGCUUCACCUUUUCCACCUUGGAGAUCGCCGGACUCCUUGACGCCUGCCACCGGCUAGAGAUCCUCUCCUUGACCAACUGCCACUGCACGGUCUCCAUUACGGAAAAACUGCAGAUCGACGCUCCCAGCUCAUCGCUCUUGGCCUUGGAACUCCAUGGUUGCUCCUUCAACAGAGUCGAGCUGGCCAGGGUCCCGAAACUUGAGCGCUUUGUUUGCGACACCUCUACAGUUGCACAUAACAUGAGUUUCGGCUAUGUUCCUUGCCUUCGUGUCAUAAACCUCUCAGUAUCGCAUCUGCAACGCUACUUUGAGAAUCCAGCAUCGCUCUGUCCAGCAUUCAAUAGCCUCAGAGAUGUUUCUCCGCGCGGCUUGGAUAUUCCCGACAAGGCAUUGAUCCUUUCUCUUCUAGAUGCUGCACCCUUCCUCAACAACCUUUCUAUUACUCGAGGUGGAGUAAAAAGGACCGGAGGGAGUAUCAAGCUAACUGAUCGCCUCUCUACACGUCGAGGUCCC